Molecule: ribosomal RNA, 446 nt
Filed under: uncultured bacterium
Lineage: Bacteria
Description: SSU rRNA
Rfam family: Bacterial small subunit ribosomal RNA
Source: RNAcentral
AGAGCGAACGCUGGCGGCAGGCCUAAUACAUGCAAGUCGAACGGACCCUUCGGGGUUAGUGGCGGACGGGUGAGUAACACGUGGGAACGUGCCCUUUGGUUCGGAACAACUCAGGGAAACUUGAGCUAAUACCGAAUGUGCCCUUUGGGGGAAAGAUUUAUCGCCAUUGGAGCGGCCCGCGUCUGAUUAGCUAGUUGGUGAGGUAAAGGCUCACCAAGGCGACGAUCAGUAGCUGGUCUGAGAGGAUGAUCAGCCACACUGGGACUGAGACACGGCCCAGACUCCUACGGGAGGCAGCAGUAGGGAAUCUUGCGCAAUGGGCGAAAGCCUGACGCAGCCAUGCCGCGUGAAUGAUGAAGGUCUUAGGAUUGUAAAAUUCUUUCAGCGGGGACGAUAAUGACGGUACCCGCAGAAGAACGCCCGGCUAACUUCGCGCCAGCAGCCGC